RNAcentral lists this ribosomal RNA (1146 nucleotides) under uncultured bacterium. Its description in RNAcentral is "bacterial SSU rRNA". It matches the Rfam family "Bacterial small subunit ribosomal RNA", at positions 44 to 1181 of the family's 1533-position model. The record is from RNAcentral.
AGGCUUAACACAUGCAAGUCGAGGGGAAACGACAUCGAAAGCUUGCUUUUGAUGGGCGUCGACCGGCGCACGGGUGAGUAACGCGUAUCCAACCUGCCCAUCACUUGGGGAUAACCUUGCGAAAGUAAGACUAAUACCCAAUGACGUCUCUAGAAGACAUCUGAAAGGGAUUAAAGAUUUAUCGGUGAUGGAUGGGGAUGCGUCUGAUUAGCUUGUUGGCGGGGUAACGGCCCACCAAGGCGACGAUCAGUAGGGGUUCUGAGAGGAAGGUCCCCCACAUUGGAACUGAGACACGGUCCAAACUCCUACGGGAGGCAGCAGUGAGGAAUAUUGGUCAAUGGGCGAGAGCCUGAACCAGCCAAGUAGCGUGCAGGAUGACGGCCCUAUGGGUUGUAAACUGCUUUUAUAAGGGAAUAAAGUGAGUCUCGUGAGACUUUUUGCAUGUACCUUAUGAAUAAGGACCGGCUAAUUCCGUGCCAGCAGCCGCGGUAAUACGGAAGGUCCGGGCGUUAUCCGGAUUUAUUGGGUUUAAAGGGAGCGUAGGCCGGAGAUUAAGCGUGUUGUGAAAUGUAGACGCUCAACGUCUGCACUGCAGCGCGAACUGGUUUCCUUGAGUACGCACAAAGUGGGCGGAAUUCGUGGUGUAGCGGUGAAAUGCUUAGAUAUCACGAAGAACUCCGAUUGCGAAGGCAGCUCACUGGAGCGCAACUGACGCUGAAGCUCGAAAGUGCGGGUAUCGAACAGGAUUAGAUACCCUGGUAGUCCGCACGGUAAACGAUGGAUGCCCGCUGUUGGUCUGAAUAGGUCAGCGGCCAAGCGAAAGCAUUAAGCAUCCCACCUGGGGAGUACGCCGGCAACGGUGAAACUCAAAGGAAUUGACGGGGGCCCGCACAAGCGGAGGAACAUGUGGUUUAAUUCGAUGAUACGCGAGGAACCUUACCCGGGCUUGAAUUGCAGAGGAAGGAUUUGGAGACAAUGACGCCCUUCGGGGCCUCUGUGAAGGUGCUGCAUGGUUGUCGUCAGCUCGUGCCGUGAGGUGUCGGCUUAAGUGCCAUAACGAGCGCAACCCCUCUCCUUAGUUGCCAUCAGGUCAAGCUGGGCACUCUGGGGACACUGCCACCGUAAGGUGUGAGGAAGGUGGGGAUG